This 428-nucleotide ribosomal RNA is filed under the name Thalassobacillus devorans. Its description in RNAcentral is "bacterial SSU rRNA". It matches the Rfam family "Bacterial small subunit ribosomal RNA", at positions 355 to 774 of the family's 1533-position model. Lineage: Bacteria; Bacillati; Bacillota; Bacilli; Caryophanales; Bacillaceae. The record is from RNAcentral.
UAGGGAAUCUUCCGCAAUGGACGAAAGUCUGACGGAGCAACGCCGCGUGAACGAUGAAGGUCUUCGGAUCGUAAAGUUCUGUUGUCAGGGAAGAACAAGUGCCGUGCGAAUAGAGCGGCACCUUGACGGUACCUGACGAGGAAGCCCCGGCUAACUACGUGCCAGCAGCCGCGGUAAUACGUAGGGGGCAAGCGUUGUCCGGAAUUAUUGGGCGUAAAGCGCGCGCAGGCGGUUCCUUAAGUCUGAUGUGAAAGCCCACGGCUCAACCGUGGAGGGUCAUUGGAAACUGGGGAACUUGAGUGCAGAAGAGGAGAGUGGAAUUCCACGUGUAGCGGUGAAAUGCGUAGAUAUGUGGAGGAACACCAGUGGCGAAGGCGACUCUCUGGUCUGUAACUGACGCUGAGGCGCGAAAGCGUGGGGAGCAAACA